GAUGAACGCUGGCGGCGUGCCUAAUACAUGCAAGUCGAGCGAACGGACGAGAAGCUUGCUUCUCUGAUGUUAGCGGCGGACGGGUGAGUAACACGUGGAUAACCUACCUAUAAGACUGGGAUAACUUCGGGAAACCGUAGCUAAUACCGGAUAAUAUUUUGAACCGCAUGGUUCAAAAGUGAAAGACGGUCUUGCUGUCACUUAUAGAUGGAUCCGCGCUGCAUUAGCUAGUUGGUAAGGUAACGGCUUACCAAGGCAACGAUGCAUAGCCGACCUGAGAGGGUGAUCGGCCACACUGGGACUGAGACACGGUCCAGACUCCUACGGGAGGCAGCAGUAGGGAAUCUUCCGCAAUGGGCGAAAGCCUGACGGAGCAACGCCGCGUGAGUGAUGAAGGUCUUCGGAUCGUAAAACUCUGUUAUUAGGGAAGAACAUAUGUGUAAGUAACUGUGCACAUCUUGACGGUACCUAAUCAGAAAGCCACGGCUAACUACGUGCCAGCAGCCGCGGUAAUACGUAGGUGGCAAGCGUUAUCCGGAAUUAUUGGGCGUAAAGCGCGCGUAGGCGGUUUUUUAAGUCUGAUGUGAAAGCCCACGGCUCAACCGUGGAGGGUCAUUGGAAACUGGAAAACUUGAGUGCAGAAGAGGAAAGUGGAAUUCCAUGUGUAGCGGUGAAAUGCGCAGAGAUAUGGAGGAACACCAGUGGCGAAGGCGACUUUCUGGUCUGUAACUGACGCUGAUGUGCGAAAGCGUGGGGAUCAAACAGGAUUAGAUACCCUAGUAGUCCACGCCGUAAACGAUGAGUGCUAAGUGUUAGGGGGUUUCCGCCCCUUAGUGCUGCAGCUAACGCAUUAAGCACUCCGCCUGGGGAGUACGACCGCAAGGUUGAAACUCAAAGGAAUUGACGGGGACCCGCACAAGCGGUGGAGCAUGUGGUUUAAUUCGAAGCAACGCGAAGAACCUUACCAAAUCUUGACAUCCUUUGACAACUCUAGAGAUAGAGCCUUCCCCUUCGGGGGACAAAGUGACAGGUGGUGCAUGGUUGUCGUCAGCUCGUGUCGUGAGAUGUUGGGUUAAGUCCCGCAACGAGCGCAACCCUUAAGCUUAGCUGCCAUCAUUAAGUUGGGCACUCUAAGUUGACUGCCGGUGACAAACCGGAGGAAGGUGGGGAUGACGUCAAAUCAUCAUGCCCCUUAUGAUUUGGGCUACACACGUGCUACAAUGGACAAUACAAAGGGCAGCGAAACCGCGAGGUCAAGCAAAUCCCAUAAAGUUGUUCUCAGUUCGGAUUGUAGUCUGCAACUCGACUACAUGAAGCUGGAAUCGCUAGUAAUCGUAGAUCAGCAUGCUACGGUGAAUACGUUCCCGGGUCU
This 1372-nucleotide ribosomal RNA is filed under the name uncultured bacterium. RNAcentral describes it as "bacterial SSU rRNA". It matches the Rfam family "Bacterial small subunit ribosomal RNA", at positions 28 to 1381 of the family's 1533-position model. The record is from RNAcentral.